This 636-nucleotide ribosomal RNA is filed under the name uncultured Bacteroidota bacterium. Its description in RNAcentral is "bacterial SSU rRNA". It matches the Rfam family "Bacterial small subunit ribosomal RNA", at positions 595 to 1233 of the family's 1533-position model. Lineage: Bacteria; Pseudomonadati; Bacteroidota. The record is from RNAcentral.
UGAAAUGGUGCGGCUCAACCGUAGCACUGCCCUUGAUACUGGUUGUCUUGAGUCAUAGUGAAGUGGCCGGAAUAUGUAGUGUAGCGGUGAAAUGCAUAGAUAUUACAUAGAACACCGAUUGCGAAGGCAGGUCACUAACUAUCGACUGACGCUGAUGGACGAAAGCGUGGGGAGCGAACGGGAUUAGAUACCCCGGUAGUCCACGCCGUAAACGAUGGAUACUAGCUGUCCGCUACCUUGAGUAGUGGGCGGCCCAGCGAAAGUGAUAAGUAUCCCACCUGGGGAGUACGUUCGCAAGAAUGAAACUCAAAGGAAUUGACGGGGGCCCGCACAAGCGGUGGAGCAUGUGGUUUAAUUCGAUGAUACGCGAGGAACCUUACCAGGGCUUAAAUGCAUAAUGACAGGUCUAGAGAUAGACUUUUCUUCGGACAUUUUGCAAGGUGCUGCAUGGUUGUCGUCAGCUCGUGCCGUGAGGUGUCAGGUUAAGUCCUAUAACGAGCGCAACCCCUGCCGUCAGUUGCCAGCAAGUAAAGUUGGGGACUCUGACGGGACUGCCGGUGCAAACCGCGAGGAAGGUGGGGACGACGUCAAAUCAUCACGGCCCUUACGUCCUGGGCUACACACGUGCUACAAUGG